Long non-coding RNA from Piliocolobus tephrosceles (Ugandan red Colobus), 322 nucleotides. RefSeq lists it as uncharacterized. The transcript has 2 exons. The record is from RefSeq and is a predicted model, not a curated record. Lineage: Eukaryota; Metazoa; Chordata; Mammalia; Primates; Cercopithecidae.
UAUUUUUAAUAUUUCCAACAACACAGAGCUUGCAUCAUACAAAGUACUCUAUAGGUGUACCUCCCAUCUCCAUUGAACUUGUUCAUAAAAGGAAAAAAGAAGAGAAUUUGUGGAGACUACUCCAGGCCUAGAAGACUAGUUGAGGUAAGGAUAUCCAUGAUAGCAUAGUGGUUACAUCAGCAGAGGGAAUGGACAAAAUAAAAAGCAACAGAUUCAAAAUAAACCACACACAGAAGAACCAGAGAUGGUGGUGAUAAAUCCCAUAUGACUAAUGUGAUUGAGGACAACCACCGUGCUCACCUCACCCUCAAGCACCUCCAGG